UGGCGGCGUGGAUUAGGCAUGCAAGUCGAACGAGAUCCUGAGCAUCCAAGUAGCAAUAUGAGGAUGUUCAGGUGACAGUGGCGAAAGGGUGAGUAACGCGCGGGUAAUCUGCCCUUAAGUUGGGGAUAGCUCUGCGAAAGCGGAAUUAAUACCGAAUGUUGUCGUGGCGCACAUGCGCCAUUAUCUAAAGCCGGGGACCGCAAGGCCUGGCGCUUAAGGAUGAACCCACGUACUAUCAGCUUGUUGGUGGGGUAACGGCUCACCAAGGCUAUGACGGUUAGCUGGUCUGAGAGGAUGGUCAGCCACACUGGGACUGAGACACUGCCCAGACUCCUACGGGAGGCUGCAGUCGAGGAUCAUUCGCAAUGCGCGAAAGCGUGACGGUGCGACGCCGCGUGCAGGAUGAAGGCCUUCGGGUCGUAAACUGCUGUCAUGAGGGAACAAUGUCCGGAAUGUUAACACCAUUUCGGGGUGAUAGUACCUCAAGAGGAAGCCACGGCUAAACUCUGUGCCAGCAGCCGCGGUAAUACAGAGGCGGCGAGCGUUGUUCGGAUUUACUGGGC
This 563-nucleotide ribosomal RNA is filed under the name uncultured bacterium. RNAcentral's name for it is "bacterial SSU rRNA". It matches the Rfam family "Bacterial small subunit ribosomal RNA", at positions 37 to 559 of the family's 1533-position model. The record is from RNAcentral.